RNAcentral lists this ribosomal RNA (497 nucleotides) under uncultured bacterium. RNAcentral describes it as "partial 16S ribosomal RNA". It matches the Rfam family "Bacterial small subunit ribosomal RNA", at positions 28 to 507 of the family's 1533-position model. The record is from RNAcentral.
GAUGAACGCUGGCGGCGUGCCUAAUACAUGCAAGUCGAGCGAACAGACGAGGAGCUUGCUCCUCUGACGUUAGCGGCGGACGGGUGAGUAACACGUGGAUAACCUACCUAUAAGACUGGGAUAACUUCGGGAAACCGGAGCUAAUACCGGAUAAUAUAUUGAACCGCAUGGUUCAAUAGUGAAAGACGGUUUUGCUGUCACUUAUAGAUGGAUCCGCGCCGCAUUAGCUAGUUGGUAAGGUAACGGCUUACCAAGGCAACGAUGCGUAGCCGACCUGAGAGGGUGAUGGGCCACACUGGAACUGAGCCACGGUCCAGACUCCUACGGGAGGCAGCAGUAGGGAAUCUUCCGCAAUGGGCGAAAGCCUGACGGAGCAACGCCGCGUGAGUGAUGAAGGUCUUCGGAUCGUAAAACUCUGUUAUUAGGGAAGAACAAAUGUGUAAGUAACUAUGCACGUCUUGACGGUACCUAAUCAGAAAGCCACGGCUAACUACGUG